RNAcentral lists this ribosomal RNA (467 nucleotides) under uncultured bacterium. RNAcentral describes it as "partial 16S ribosomal RNA". It matches the Rfam family "Bacterial small subunit ribosomal RNA", at positions 28 to 506 of the family's 1533-position model. The record is from RNAcentral.
GACGAACGCUGGCGGCGUGCUUAACACAUGCAAGUCGAACGGAAAGGCCCUGCUUUUGUGGGGUGCUCGAGUGGCGAACGGGUGAGUAACACGUGAGUAACCUGCCCUUGACUUUGGGAUAACUUCAGGAAACUGGGGCUAAUACCGGAUAGGAGCUCCUGCUGCAUGGUGGGGGUUGGAAAGUUUCGGCGGUUGGGGAUGGACUCGCGGCUUAUCAGCUUGUUGGUGGGGUAGUGGCUUACCAAGGCUUUGACGGGUAGCCGGCCUGGGAGGGUGACCGGCCACAUUGGGCCUGAGGUGCGGCCCAGACUCAUAAGGGGGGCAGCGGUGGGGGCUAUUGCACGAUGGGCGGAGGCCUGAUGCAGCAACGCCGCGUGCGGGAUGACGGCCUUCGGGUUGUAAACCGCUUUCGCCUGUGACGAAGCGUGAGUGACGGUACUGGGUAAAGAAGCACCGGCUAACUACGU